AAGUCGUAACAAGGUUUCCGUAGGUGAACCUGCGGAAGGAUCAUUACAAUUCAGUAGCUUGCUACUGGUCGGGAGGUGCUGUAAGUCCGCAUAGUUUAAUUACUGAUGAGCGGCAAGCCCUCUGUCUGUACCCUUGUCUUUUGCGCACUCAUGUUUCCUCGGCGGGCUUGCCCGCCGACUGGACAACCUUAUAACCUUUUUAAUUUUCAAUCAGCGUCUGAAAAAACUUAAUAAUUACAACUUUCAACAACGGAUCUCUUGGUUCUG
This 267-nucleotide unclassified non-coding RNA is filed under the name air metagenome. Its description in RNAcentral is "partial contains small subunit ribosomal RNA, internal transcribed spacer 1, and 5.8S ribosomal RNA". The stretch from base 1 to 46 matches the Rfam family "Eukaryotic small subunit ribosomal RNA", at positions 1786 to 1831 of the family's 1831-position model. The record is from RNAcentral.